RNAcentral lists this ribosomal RNA (497 nucleotides) under uncultured bacterium. RNAcentral describes it as "partial 16S ribosomal RNA". It matches the Rfam family "Bacterial small subunit ribosomal RNA", at positions 28 to 507 of the family's 1533-position model. The record is from RNAcentral.
GAUGAACGCUGGCGGCGUGCCUAAUACAUGCCAGUCGAGCGAACGGACGAGAAGCUUGCUUCUCUGAUGUUAGCGGCGGACGGGUGAGUAACACGUGGAUAACCUACCUAUAAGACUGGGAUAACUUCGGGAAACCGGAGCUAAUACCGGAUGAUAUUUUGAACCGCAUGGUUCAAAAGUGAAAGACGGUCUUGCUGUCACUUAUAGAUGGAUCCGCGCUGCAUUAGCUAGUUGGUAAGGUAACGGCUUACCAAGGCAACGAUGCAUAGCCGACCUGAGAGGGUGAUCGGCCACACUGGAACUGAGACACGGUCCAGACUCCUACGGGAGGCAGCAGUAGGGAAUCUUCCGCAAUGGGCGAAAGCCUGACGGAGCAACGCCGCGUGAGUGAUGAAGGUCUUCAGAUCGUAAAACUCUGUUAUUAGGGAAGAACAUAUGUGUAAGUAACUGUGCACAUCUUGACGGUACCUAAUCAGAAAGCCACGGCUAACUACGUG